Molecule: long non-coding RNA, 872 nt
Organism: Sarcophilus harrisii (Tasmanian devil)
Lineage: Eukaryota; Metazoa; Chordata; Mammalia; Dasyuromorphia; Dasyuridae
Exons: 3
Source: RefSeq, a predicted model, not a curated record
UUCCGGGAUCUUCUCUAUCCCAUGUUUAGUCAUGAAAUGUUCCCUUAUCCAUAAAUCUGAAAUGUUAAUCUCUUCCUUGUCCUGUUAAUUUGUUCACAUUGUCAAUCCUUUAUGUCUAAGUCAUGUCCCAUGGAAACUUAUCUUGAUAUACAGUGGGAAAUGUUGGUCAUAAUGCUUUCCAGUUUUCCCAGAAUGCUACUCUACCUGCCUUUGAACCACACAAGGAUAUUCCAAGUUAUGUGUGAGGGUCACUUCCUAGCCACAUAUGGGGUCUAACUCAUAGGAAGGCCCCAAUCUUCUGGUUUGUGGAGUUAGGAACUAUGGGACCUAGAGAACUGGGCACUGGAGAAAUCCAUGGCAGACCUCUGAAAAUCAGCCACCGUGCCCAGCCAUGUUACACAUCAUGAGAGACUGGCACCUUAAACGAAGACUGAAUUUGCAGUUGUAUUUAGUGAUUCUCCAUGAACACAGCCCCUCCACUGUCCAGUAGAAGCCUUGUCUUGUGAUAAUCACAUAUAGUCCAGCAAGUCAAAUCAGUACAUUGACUUUGGACUCCGGCAUUCUUGGGGGAUAGUCUGGCCUUCUCACAUGAGACCAAAAAGCAGCUGAAGAUGCAAGCUCACCCCAUGACCUUGAACAAUCUGGAAGAACCCCCGCUUCCCGGUAAGCUGCCUCCCUCCAAAGUCAUUUUCAGUUUAGAUUAUACAGGACUUCUGAACUUGUGUUAACAACUUAAUGGAAAAUCCUCGAGUAGAAGCAUGGUAUUUUCUGUGGCUCUGUAUCUUUCACCAGACCAAGCACAACCCUUGUUCAUAAGAUCAAAUGAGAUAAUAUGUAUAAAGAGUAAAGUAUCUAUAAAUGAACAAAUAUGA